This is a non-coding RNA of Arachis ipaensis, 326 nucleotides long. Lineage: Eukaryota; Viridiplantae; Streptophyta; Magnoliopsida; Fabales; Fabaceae. The record is from RefSeq and is a predicted model, not a curated record.
UAGUGAAGACAUGGCAAAUUGCCAUUCUCAGUUUCAAUUUCAAUUGUGGAAGAUAUAAAUGUAGCUAACACCAAAGUCACGUAGCGUGUUUUUAUAUGUGUUAUAUAAAUAGCAUUCAUCUGUGUAAUAGAUAAAUAGAUCACUCAUACUAAUACAAUAAUACAAUUUCUUUUCUUUGUUUCUUUUGUCUCAAUAGACAAAUUUUCUAAAUCUGAAAUAAUCUCCACAUGAUAAUGGAGUACAGAAAAUUCAAAAAAAUUCUCCGAUUCUUGACAAAUCCAGCGAGUCAAAUUUCGUCACAUGGUAGCAGCAUGAGCGUUUUUGCA